AGAGUUUGAUCCUGGCUCAGGAUGAACGCUAGCUACAGGCUUAACACAUGCAAGUCGAGGGGAAACGAUAUUGGAAGCUUGCUUCUGAUGGGCGUCGACCGGCGCACGGGUGAGUAACGCGUAUCCAACCUGCCCAUCACUUGGGGAUAACCUUGCGAAAGUAAGACUAAUACCCAAUGAUAUCUCAAGAAGACAUCUGAAUGAGAUUAAAGAUUUAUCGGUGAUGGAUGGGGAUGCGUCUGAUUAGCUUGUUGGCGGGGUAACGGCCCACCAAGGCUACGAUCAGUAGGGGUUCUGAGAGGAAGGUCCCCCACAUUGGAACUGAGACACGGUCCAAACUCCUACGGGAGGCAGCAGUGAGGAAUAUUGGUCAAUGGGCGAGAGCCUGAACCAGCCAAGUAGCGUGCAGGAUGACGGCCCUAUGGGUUGUAAACUGCUUUUAUAAGGGAAUAAAGUGAGCCUCGUGAGGCUUUUUGCAUGUACCUUAUGAAUAAGGACCGGCUAAUUCCGUGCCAGCAGCCGCGGUAAUACGGAAGGUCCGGGCGUUAUCCGGAUUUAUUGGGUUUAAAGGGAGCGUGGGCCGGAGAUUAAGCGUGUUGUGAAAUGUAGAUGCUCAACAUCUGCACUGCAGCGCGAACUGGUUUCCUUGAGUACGCACAAAGUGGGCGGAAUUCGUGGUGUAGCGGUGAAAUGCUUAGAUAUCACGAAGAACUCCGAUUGCGAAGGCAGCUCACUGGAGCGCAACUGACGCUGAAGCUCGAAAGUGCGGGUAUCGAACAGGAUUAGAUACCCUGGUAGUCCGCACGGUAAACGAUGGAUGCCC
Molecule: ribosomal RNA, 823 nt
Filed under: uncultured bacterium
Lineage: Bacteria
Description: bacterial SSU rRNA
Rfam family: Bacterial small subunit ribosomal RNA
Source: RNAcentral